UCAGAUCCGCGAUUCCUGUUCAGAGCUCCAAGGUUGCAUUUUCAUGGCAUCUUGAGAAGAGGCAAGACCUUGAAGGUUGGAAUUUUGAUCUUAUAGAUCGAUUUCUCUUUGCAGAAACUCCAGAUCCAUCUUCUGAACUCCUUUGUCUUUCCUUUUUUGAGAUUUUUAAUGAGUUUGGGCACUCGAUCUCUGCUUGUAAGCCUUAUCGUUCGAAGAUCUAGUCGUUUUAGAUGGAAAUACUCGACCAUCGGGUGACUGGUUUCUAGAUCGUUGAAAUCUUCAGUUAGACAUAACCGCUGUCAAUAGUUUACCUAGUUUCAUACUUAAUCUAAUUAGUUGAAUCUCCUAUCCUCCGAGAAGCAGUAGGCUUAACUGAGGGUUUUUGGUUAGCAGUGUAAGUCUUCAGGUUUGAAUCUUCUGCCGCGGAGAGUCAGUCAUCUUAACUGAAGUUUAAGCCUUUGAUUUGCUAUAGACAGGCGAGCUAGGCCUCUUUUUUACUUUUGGCCUUCUCCCGUAUGGUUUACGGUGUUUAAAGGCUAAUACGGUGUUUUUGACCUUUUUUGAACCGUAAAUCUUGGUCAAGUUUGGUGGAACCACUGAUACGUGCAAAUGGAGACACUUGUUGUUGUUGUGCAGCAUCGGAAUCAGUACUAUAGCAGGGGAAAUUCUGGUGGUCUUGGUGGAUUUGGUUCUUCUCCAUCCAGAAGCUUCAGUGAAAUCAAUUGUAGAACUUUUCAAUCUGGAGGAGGUAUUCUACCUACCCCCUGGACACCCUCUAACAGUCCUGGUGCGAUUGAAAAGGCUUGUUCUUCACCCCGAACUCCACCCCAUGACAACUUUAGAAUUGAAGAAGAGAAGCAGUUGAAAAUUAAUGGAAAAAGCAGUUCCGUUCCUAUCAACAUCAAGGCCACAAAGGUUGAAAGGUCUUUUAGCGAUGAUCUAUCUUACUCUGAGCUCUGGGCAGGGCCAACUUAUUCGUACUCACCUCCUCCUAGUUCAUUGCCGAUCCCUAAAUUUUCUCUCCGGCAAAAGCGAAGUGUGUCACUUGAUGUGCCUGCUUCAGUCUCCGAGAAAGCGGCGCACCCCAUUGCUAGGUCUGCUCCGUCUUCACCCACGAGGGAACCACAGUCUUCUCCAAGGAGUUUCUUUCUCAGUACUGACUCGGCAACUAGGGACCUACGUCGUAUUCUCCAUCUGGAUCUCAGUGACGAUUGAGAAUGGAGGUUCUGAACACUGUAAAUAAACCAACUCUGCAACUUGGGUUAGUGUUAGUUUGUACAAAAGGAGUAAACUUUUUCUGUGUUGCAAGUCUCUGCAAGUUCAUUAUGGCUUCCUGCAUAAGUGGGGGCAAAGAGAAUCGUCAGUUACUGGUUUUCUUCAACAAUCUCCAAAUUUAGCUGCAACAAUUGAUGUAGGUGGUGUGAGUUUCAUCAUGGGUCUUCCUUAUGAAGAGUGGAAAGCGAUGAUAUUCCAGGUAUGGGGCAGCUACUUCAUUCGUGUUUCUGGAGGAGGUGAUUUUAAUCCUUGACGAUCCCUCAGCUGAUCACUGGUUCAUUGCUCUCGCGGAUUCUUCUUCAAUGAUAAGGAUCAUCAGAAACUUCCUUUCUAUUUAUCCAGCAACACUAUAACGUGGUCCUUAAGAUGUGGAUCUUACAAUAUCAAUCAAUGUUUUCAAAUAUUUUUUUGUUCUUUGUUAUUUUCCUGCCAUGUAAAUACUGUAGGGUCGUUGCUUCUGGUAGGAUUUUCUCAAAUUAUAUAAUUUUCUUUACCUUCUCUAUUCCUUCAGUAUGUCUAUUUCCCUUAGGUCUGGUAUCCGUCACUCUCUUCAUUUUACUUCUCACAACAUCUCCAAAUUUCUGACUAGAUGAUACACUUUUAACUCCUGCUUAGUCUCUUCUUCUUUGUUUUGUCCUUGAUUGCCUGAAUUGGCUGCUUAGAUGGUAGUUGAUGCUCAUUCCUGGUUAAUCUUUUCCAUAUACUUAGUCCAACUUUGCCUGCAUUGGUUGCCGAGAUGAAAAGUUCAACCUCCUUUCAUUCUAACUGGUUUUCUUUGCACUGCUAAACUCUCAUUCCUUCGUUGAUGCUGCAAGGGUGUUGCGUUCCCCUUUACCUCUUCUCCAGCUUUUUUAUGAUGGAAAAGUGGGUAGCAGCAUUUACAGGAGGAUGGUUUGUUUUCCACCUCUUCUGCUUUCUAGUUUGUAGUGUCAAUGUGAGUUUGUUUGCUUUCCACCUCUUAGACUUUCUAGUUUGUAGUGUCAAUGUGAGUCCCUCUUGUGCCAUCCUUCUGUAACUCCUUGUGGUCCUCUUGUUUCUGUGAGUGUCUGUCAUUACUUCUUUUGGGUUUGCUCCUGUGAAGGUAGUCAAUCUUUGGAGAUCGCGAAGUAUAUAAGACUUCUCACAAGUUUAUGGGACAGUGCUGACCGUGGGAGCCAACAGAAGGAUCUUCAGGAGGCUGUUUCUCCAUUUCCCACUAGUGUUGUUGUGUAAGAAAUGCUUUCAGUUAUUAAACUCCCUCGAUCUGUUUAUGUACUUUGCAUCUAGUUAUACUGGACCAGAGUUUGUUUGUUUGUUUGUUCGCUUUUCUCAUUAUGAAUUCAGUUUGUGUGUUGUGUUCUUGCUAAAAUAGUAUUGCCUUACUGUUAUAGACUUCUAUUGCAUUUUGUUCA
This is a long non-coding RNA of Macadamia integrifolia, 2666 nucleotides long. RefSeq lists it as uncharacterized. NCBI's taxonomy places the organism in Eukaryota, Viridiplantae, Streptophyta, Magnoliopsida, Proteales, Proteaceae. The transcript has 3 exons. The record is from RefSeq and is a predicted model, not a curated record.